CUGGUAGUGGGGGAUAACGUCCGGAAACGGACGCUAAUACCGCAUACGUCCUACGGGAGAAAGCAGGGGACCUUCGGGCCUUGCGCUAUCAGAUGAGCCUAGGUCGGAUUAGCUAGUUGGUGGGGUAAUGGCUCACCAAGGCGACGAUCCGUAACUGGUCUGAGAGGAUGAUCAGUCACACUGGAACUGAGACACGGUCCAGACUCCUACGGGAGGCAGCAGUGGGGAAUAUUGGACAAUGGGCGAAAGCCUGAUCCAGCCAUGCCGCGUGUGUGAAGAAGGUCUUCGGAUUGUAAAGCACUUUAAGUUGGGAGGAAGGGCAGUAAAUUAAUACUUUGCUGUUUUGACGUUACCGACAGAAUAAGCACCGGCUAACUCUGUGCCAGCAGCCGCGGUAAUACAGAGGGUGCAAGCGUUAAUCUGAAUUACUGGGCGUAAAGCGCGCGUAGGUGGUUCGUUAAAUUGGAUGUGAAAUCCCCGGGCUCAACCUGGGAACUGCAUUCAAAACUGACGAGCUAGAGUAUGGUAGAGGGUGGGUGGAAUUUCCUGUGU
This 552-nucleotide ribosomal RNA is filed under the name uncultured bacterium. RNAcentral's name for it is "bacterial SSU rRNA". It matches the Rfam family "Bacterial small subunit ribosomal RNA", at positions 130 to 676 of the family's 1533-position model. The record is from RNAcentral.